CAUCAUUUUUUGUAUAACAUGGGACGUGUUUUACCUGUGAUUGGUCCGUUUUAAUUAUCUGUAAAGCGUUUUAGUUUUUAAUUAGCCUGUCGUAAAGGGGGAAAAACAUUUAUCGUAGAUAAAUAUUUAAACUGGAUAUUCUUUGAUUCGGGGUGUUUUAAAAUCUCUGCACAUUUGGCCUACUGCAUGUUUGAAAAUGCUCACUUCCUCAUUUCCUACUCAUCACCAAGUUAGUAAGUACAUACUAACUUACUUAGUAUGCCACCUUACUUAGUAUGCCUGAGAAAUGUAGCCGCUGUGCUAUUUGUCAGUUUAGACUUGCUAGUUCACUGAAUUUCAGUAGCCUACAUCUUGACAUGCAUUAACACGUUGGGUUUGAAAGAUUGGCGUCAUGCUGUUGUCACAUACCAGUAGUGGUGCUGCUAGAGCCUCAAACACUCAAGCUGCUGCUUGCAUAUUGAGAUGCACUUCAGUGAAGGCUGGUGGACAGCUGCCAUCCGGUCUAGACUAAGCAGCUCCUCUCUUAUCACGAUCAAAGCACAUGUUUGCACUGAAAACUGGGAAAUAUGUGAGAGAUAUGCAAGGCAUGAACUGGUAGGACAAAAUGUGAGGUGAAAUAUAAAAUCCAAAUACCACCUUAAAUGGUAUUUGUCAGUAUUUUCAUAAAAGUUCCUGUUUUCUGAGCUGUUUUUAUUUCAUGGAAUCAUAAAAGGUUGAGGAUUUCCAAAUGUCUCUGAAGAAAAUAAAAAAGGCAUAAUAUGGCCGAUUGGUCUUAAAUACAUCCAUUCAUUCACUUGCUCGCAAGUAUUCACUUCCUCAAACCUGACCCGGACAUAUAAGCCUAAAAUAUGACAUCAGCCAGUGUUUUAGCCAAACACACACACUGUACAUGUCUGCAGAGCCAAAUGACCUGCACUUAUUAUAAGUCUAAUGGGGAAAUCUCAGGCAGCUGUGUGAAGGCAGUGAGGACACAGAUGUAAAUGUGUAAUGAAUGUUAAAAGCCUGCUUUCAACAGUAUCAUACCACCAUUCCCUUUCUAAACAAAUGUCUGUAAAAUCUAGCUUUAGAACAGAACAUCUAACAGAAAACCUGCUUUUUGAAAGUCUUAGACCGGCUGAAGGAUAUGAAACGAUGGCUUUUACAAUUUUUUUUAAUUACCUUUACCCCUUUCAGAAUGCUGCAAAUUAAUCAAUUAGUUUGUAGAAUUAUGCCAUUUUGCAUUUCUGAUGUUUCCAAGUGUAACAUCAUAAAUCAGGGUUAUUCAAAUAUUGUCCUGGAGGGCGAAUGCGCUGCAGAGUUUAGCUCCAACCCUGAUCAAACACAGCUGAGCAUGCUAAUCAGUGUCGUCACCAUCAUUAGAAAAAUCACAGGUAGGAGAGUUUGAUCAGGGUUGGAGCUAAACUCUGCAGCGCAUUGGCCCUCCAGGAUAAGAUUUGAAUAACCCUGUCAUAAAUCAUUCUGUAGUUUGGGAGGUUUGCUUUUAACCACAUAACAAAUCUGUUUAUUUUCAUACACAGAAGUCUUAAACUCUUAAAUUUCUCCUGAAUUGAAGCAUCUCAUGAACUACUAUGUGGAUCAGAUGUCCUUGGAGACAACACAAUGAAGGAAAGGCAUUAUCAAUACAUCUUUACAUUUUUCUAGUUACACCUAUUUUGCUCUCACAAAAUGAACAGCAAAAUUAUGUGAUUUUGAAACGAACAAACAAGAGGUUUAACUCACAAAAUAAAAGUUAAGUUUAUUGUUGAACAACAAACUCCACACAUACAACAAACAGGCCAAGGUAAAACAAAUAAUGUAGACAAAAAGUCAAAAGAAACCAAAACUCCUUUUCUUUGGCCUAGCCCUCCCAUACAAAAACUAGUUUAUGGUACAACUAAAGUUCAUACAUAAAAUUUACUGGAAUGCUCGGAGUUCAAUGACUGGUGAUUUUAUACAUGUUGCCUUUAUGUUGAAAUAUCGAGACAUGGUCAAACAAGUAAAAUUUCCAUAAAGAAGCACCGUUUUGGUCACAGGAGAUCAUGAUAAAGUGGCUGAUCUCUUCACAAUAUGUACAAAAAUAUAAAA
This is a long non-coding RNA of Carassius auratus (goldfish), 2064 nucleotides long. RefSeq lists it as uncharacterized. NCBI's taxonomy places the organism in Eukaryota, Metazoa, Chordata, Actinopteri, Cypriniformes, Cyprinidae. The record is from RefSeq and is a predicted model, not a curated record. The transcript has 2 exons.